CAACAGGGAUUGCCUUAGUAACUGCGAGUGAAGCGGCAAAAGCUCAAAUUUGAAAUCUGGGGCCUCACAGCCUCCGAAUUGUAAUUUCGCGAUGCGUCUUUGACGGAUGGCCCUACUUUAAGUUCCUUGGAACAGGACGUCACAGAGGGUGAGAAUCCCGUGAUAGGUAGGGCCUGAAGCAUAUAAUACGUAUUCUACGAGUCGAGUUGUUUGGGAAUGCAGCUCAAAAUGGGUGGUAAAUUUCAUCUAAAGCUAAAUAUUGGCGAGAGACCGAUAGCGCACAAGUAGAGUGAUCGAAAGAUGAAAAGCACUUUGAAAAGAGAGUUAAAAAGUACGUGAAAUUGUUGAAAGGGAAGCGCUUGAGACCAGACUCCAUCUGUGGUGAUCAGCGGUGCUUUUGUGCCGUGCACUUGCCACUUAUGGGGCCAGCAUCGGUUCUGGCGGUGGGAUAAAGUCUAGAGGAAUGUAGCUGUCGUUUGGCAGUGUUAUAGCCUCUUGAGCAAUGCCACCAGCCGGGACCGAGGACCGCGCUUCGGCUAGGAUGCUGGCGUAAUGGUCUUCAGCGA
RNAcentral lists this ribosomal RNA (566 nucleotides) under Geopyxis majalis. RNAcentral describes it as "eukaryotic LSU rRNA". It matches the Rfam family "Eukaryotic large subunit ribosomal RNA", at positions 66 to 647 of the family's 3401-position model. The record is from RNAcentral. Lineage: Eukaryota; Fungi; Ascomycota; Pezizomycetes; Pezizales; Tarzettaceae.